GUAAGGAUGGUAAGGGCGGACGGUGGAUCCCUCGGCAGCCGGAGGCGAUGAAGGGCGUGGCCAGCUGCGAUAAGCCCCGGGGAGCCGCUGAGCAGGCGAUGAUCCGGGGAUUCCCGAAUGGGGAAACCCACCGUACCGUUGAGGUACGGUAUCCGCCGCCGAAACACAAGUAGGCGGCGGAGGCGAACCCCGCGAAGGGAAACAUCCCAGUAGCGGGAGGAAAAGAAAUCAACACCCGUCUCCUUCGGGAGGCGGGCGCGUCCCCCAAAAGGGGACGUGGAGAUUCCCCUAGUAGCGGCGAGCGAACGGGGAACAGCCCAAACCUCACGGGUGUUAAAGCCCGCAGGCGUUGCCCGUGGGGGGUUGCGGGACGGCAACGGGGAGGGCUGCGGACCUCCCAGGGAGUUACAAAAGCCUUCUCUAGCCGAACGGCCUGCAAAGUCGCUGGAAAGGGCGGCCGGAGAGGGUGAAAGCCCCGUAGGCGAAAGGGAAGGCUCUCCCGGGUUGCCGCUCCCAAGUAGCGUCGGACACGUGAAAUCCGGCGUGAAUCUGGGGGGCCCACCCUCCAAGGCUAAAUACUCCCGGCUGACCGAUAGCGCACCAGUACCGUGAGGGAAAGGUGAAAAGAACCCCGGGAGGGGAGUGAAAUAGAACGUGAAACCGUCCGCUCACAGGCAGUAGGAGCCUGGAGGCCUUGGCCCUUCGGGGCCCUGGCUGAAGGGUGACUGCAUGCCUUUUGCAGUAUGAGCCGGCGAGUUAUGGUCCGUGGCGAGGCUAAGCGGGUCUCCCGCGGAGCCGUAGCGAAAGCGAGUCCGAACAGGGCGUCCAGUCACGGGCCAUAGACCCGAAGCCAGGCGAUCUACCCGUGGGCAGGGUGAAGGCGGGGUAAGACCCGCCGGAGGCCCGAACCCAUUGGACGUGCAAUUCCAUGGGAUGACCUGCGGGUAGCGGUGAAAUGCCAAUCGAGCCUGGUGAUAGCUGGCUCUCCCCGAAAUGGCUCUAGGGUCAGCCUCACGGCUCAGGCGGCCGGGGGUAGAGCACUGGAUGGGGAAGGGGGGAAACUCCCGACUCCAACCAAACUCCGAAUACCGGCCGUCGGUCCGUGGGAGUGAGUCCGUGGGGGAUAACCUCCACGGUCGAGAGGGGAACAACCCAGACCGCCGGCUAAGGCCCCCAAAUCCGGGCUAAGUGGGGAAGGCGGUGUGGCCGCUAAAACAGCUGGGAGGUUGGCUUAGAAGCAGCCAUCCUUUAAAGAGUGCGUAACAGCUCACCAGUCUAGCGGCCGCGCGCCGAAAAUGUAACGGGGCUAAGCCCGGUGCCGAAGCCGCGGGCUUCCGCGAGGGUUUCCUCGUGGGAGCGGUAGGGGAGCGUUCCCAGCGGGGCGAAGCCGCGUCGCGAGGCGCGGUGGACUGCUGGGAAGUGAGAAUGCCGGCAUGAGUAGCGAGAGGCGGGUGAGAAUCCCGCCCCCCGGAUGCCCAAGGUUUCCUGGGGAAGGCUCGUCCGCCCAGGGUUAGGCGGGACCUAAGGUGAACCCGAAAGGGGUAGCCGAUGGGCAGCCGGUUAAUAUUCCGGCCCCUCCGGGUCCGCGCUACGAGCGAAGGGGUGACGCCGCAGGACUAUCCCCGCGGGCUUACGGCUAUGCCCGUCCAAGCGUCAAGCCAGGGGGAGGAGGCAAAUCCCCUCCCCCGCUACGGCGAGGCGUGAUGGCGAGCCGCUUAACGCGGCGAAGGGGGAUGGGUUCAGCGGCCGAGAAAAGCCUCUAGCCAGUGGACCCGGAGCCCGUACCGCAAACCGACACAGGUGGGCGAGGGGAGUACCCACAGGGGGGCGAGAUAACCCCGGUCAAGGAACUCGGCAAAUUGCCCCCGUAACCUCGGGAGAAGGGGGGCCCUCGCCGUGGCCAGGGAUUCUCUUGGCUGCGGUUGGGGGCCGCAGAGAAUCGGCCCAGGCGACUGUUUACCAAAAACACAGGUCCCUGCUAACCCGUAAGGGGACGUAUAGGGGCUGAAACCUGGCCACUGCCGGUAGGUCAAGGGGAGGGGUGCAAGCCCCGAACCGAAGCCCCGGUGAAGGCCGGCCGUAACUAUAACGGUCCUAAGGUAGCGAAGUACCUUGUCGGGUAAGCCAAAGCUUGCCCCACCGCCCCGCGAGGGGCGGUGAAAAACCCGGCUCAUAUCGGGGGAGCCCUCCUGCCGAAAUGGCGUGGGGUAACCCCGAGGGAAGUCGGCUCCAUAUGGAGCUUGACCCCGUAACGACUGACCCGAAAGGGGAGGCGCGCUGUCCUCCCAGCGCGCAACACGCCGGGCCUCGCCCGCAAACGGGCGCCUAUGGAGUCCCCUUUCCCGCAGAGGGAGGUGGGAAAUGGAGAAGCUGGAUCCAUGGUACGUAACGGGCCUUGUAGAGGGGGAAGGCACCUUCGCCGUGAGCUUCACUUUGCGGAGGAAGCUUACGGUGGGGAUCGAGACGCGCCCCUCCUUCUCCAUUUCCCAGAACGAGGCCAAUCUCGAGCUCCUGAAGCGGGUGCAUGCCUAUUUCGGGUGCGGGGCGAUCCGCUACUCCCGCAGCGACCGCACCUACAAGUACGAGGUGCGGUCGGUGAGGGAUCUGACCAAGCGGAUCAUCCCCCAUUUCCGGCGCUAUCCGCUUCAGGGAGCCAAGGCGCGGGACUUCGAGAAGUUCGCGCGCAUUUGUGAGAUGGUCCAUCGGAAUCUGCACCUCAACCGCCGCCACUUGCGGGAGAUCAUUGAGAUCGCCUAUUCGAUGAACCCCGCGGGCAAGAGGCGGCACCGGAAGGGGGAUCUCCUAAGGGUGCUGGGCGAGGAUAAGGGAUAGUCUACCCCCCGUGGAAACACGGGAGAGGGUGAAGUUCCGACCUGCAUGAAAGGAACAACGACCUGGGCACUGUCUUGACCGGGGGCUCGGUGAACUUGAAGCGCCGGUGAAGAUGCCGGCGACCCGCGGUGGGACAGAAAGACCCCGUGGAGCUUUACUGCAGCCUGGUGUUGGGUCUUGGUCGUUGAUGUAGAGGAU
This 3030-nucleotide ribosomal RNA is filed under the name Candidatus Acetothermia bacterium. RNAcentral's name for it is "partial 23S ribosomal RNA". It matches the Rfam family "Bacterial large subunit ribosomal RNA", at positions 1 to 2144 of the family's 2925-position model. The record is from RNAcentral. Lineage: Bacteria; Candidatus Bipolaricaulota.